Molecule: ribosomal RNA, 659 nt
Filed under: Listeria monocytogenes
Lineage: Bacteria; Bacillati; Bacillota; Bacilli; Caryophanales; Listeriaceae
Description: bacterial SSU rRNA
Rfam family: Bacterial small subunit ribosomal RNA
Source: RNAcentral
AAGUUGGGGAUAACUCCGGGAAACCGGGGCUAAUACCGAAUGAUAGAAUGUGGCGCAUGCCACGCUUUUGAAAGAUGGUUUCGGCUAUCGCUUACAGAUGGGCCCGCGGUGCAUUAGCUAGUUGGUAGGGUAAUGGCCUACCAAGGCAACGAUGCAUAGCCGACCUGAGAGGGUGAUCGGCCACACUGGGACUGAGACACGGCCCAGACUCCUACGGGAGGCAGCAGUAGGGAAUCUUCCGCAAUGGACGAAAGUCUGACGGAGCAACGCCGCGUGUAUGAAGAAGGUUUUCGGAUCGUAAAGUACUGUUGUUAGAGAAGAACAAGGAUAAGAGUAACUGCUUGUCCCUUGACGGUAUCUAACCAGAAAGCCACGGCUAACUACGUGCCAGCAGCCGCGGUAAUACGUAGGUGGCAAGCGUUGUCCGGAUUUAUUGGGCGUAAAGCGCGCGCAGGCGGUCUUUUAAGUCUGAUGUGAAAGCCCCCGGCUUAACCGGGGAGGGUCAUUGGAAACUGGAAGACUGGAGUGCAGAAGAGGAGAGUGGAAUUCCACGUGUAGCGGUGAAAUGCGUAGAUAUGUGGAGGAACACCAGUGGCGAAGGCGACUCUCUGGUCUGUAACUGACGCUGAGGCGCGAAAGCGUGGGGAGCAAACAGGAUU